This 355-nucleotide ribosomal RNA is filed under the name uncultured bacterium. Its description in RNAcentral is "bacterial SSU rRNA". It matches the Rfam family "Bacterial small subunit ribosomal RNA", at positions 29 to 409 of the family's 1533-position model. The record is from RNAcentral.
AACGAACGCUGGCGGCAGGCCUCAAACAUGCAAGUCUAGGGGUGUAGCAAUACAUCACCGGCGGACGGGUGCGUAACGCGUGGGAAUAUACCUAUCGAUUCGGAACAACUGAGGGAAACUUCAGCUAAUACCGAAUACGUCCUAACGGAGAAGAUUUAUCGUCGAUAGAUUAGCCCGCGUUCGAUUAGCUAGUUGGUGGGGUAACGGCCCACCAAGGCGACGAUCGAUAGCUGUUCUGAGAGGAAGAUCAGCACACUGGGACUGAGACACGGCCCACGACUCCUACGGGAGGCAGCAGUUGGGAAUCUUGGACAAUGGGGGGAAACCCGUGAUCCAGCCAUGCCGCGUGAGUGAU